CCUUGUACACACCGCCCGUCACGCCAUGGGAGUUGGUUUCACCCGAAGGUGGUGCGCUAACCGGUUUACCGGAGGCAGCCAACCACGGUGGGAUCAGCCGACUGGGGUG
This 109-nucleotide ribosomal RNA is filed under the name uncultured bacterium. Its description in RNAcentral is "partial 16S ribosomal RNA". It matches the Rfam family "Bacterial small subunit ribosomal RNA", at positions 1379 to 1482 of the family's 1533-position model. The record is from RNAcentral.